AAUGUUGGGUUAAGUCCCGCAACGAGCGCAACCCUUAUCCUUGUUUGCCAGCGAGUAAUGUCGGGAACUCCAGGGAGACUGCCGGUGAUAAACCGGAGGAAGGUGGGGACGACGUCAAGUCAUCAUGGCCCUUACGAGUAGGGCUACACACGUGCUACAAUGGCGCAUACAGAGGGCGGCCAACUUGCGAAAGUGAGCGAAUCCCAAAAAGUGCGUCGUAGUCCGGAUUGGAG
This 233-nucleotide ribosomal RNA is filed under the name Vibrio parahaemolyticus. Its description in RNAcentral is "partial 16S ribosomal RNA". It matches the Rfam family "Bacterial small subunit ribosomal RNA", at positions 1071 to 1303 of the family's 1533-position model. The record is from RNAcentral. Lineage: Bacteria; Pseudomonadati; Pseudomonadota; Gammaproteobacteria; Vibrionales; Vibrionaceae.